This 250-nucleotide ribosomal RNA is filed under the name uncultured bacterium. RNAcentral's name for it is "partial 16S ribosomal RNA". It matches the Rfam family "Bacterial small subunit ribosomal RNA", at positions 524 to 773 of the family's 1533-position model. The record is from RNAcentral.
AACGUAGGAGGCGAACGUUAUCCGGAUUUACUGGGCGUAAAGCGCAUGCAGGCGGUUUCUUAAGUCGGACGUGAAAGCUCCUGGCUCAACUGGGAGAGGUCGUUCGAAACUGAGAAACUUGAGGAUGGUAGAGGAGAGUGGAAUUCCCGGUGUAGUGGUGAAAUGCGUAGAUAUCGGGAGGAACACCAGUGGCGAAGGCGGCUCUCUGGGCCAUUCCUGACGCUAAGAUGCGAAAGCUAGGGGAGAGAAC